ACUGCUAUGGGGGUCCGACUAAGCCAUGCGAGUCAUGGGGCGCCUUGCGCGCACCGGCGGACGGCUCAGUAACACGUCGGUAACCUACCCUCGGGAGGGGGAUAACCCCGGGAAACUGGGGCUAAUCCCCCAUAGGCCUGAGGUACUGGAAGGUCCUCAGGCCGAAAGGGGCUUCGGCCCGCCCGAGGAUGGGCCGGCGGCCGAUUAGGUAGUUGGUGGGGUAACGGCCCACCAAGCCGAAGAUCGGUACGGGCCAUGAGAGUGGGAGCCCGGAGAUGGACACUGAGACACGGGUCCAGGCCCUACGGGGCGCAGCAGGCGCGAAACCUCCGCAAUGCGGGAAACCGCGACGGGGGGACCCCCAGUGCCGUGGCAUCGCCACGGCUUUUCCGGAGUGUAAAAAGCUCCGGGAAUAAGGGCUGGGCAAGGCCGGUGGCAGCCGCCGCGGUAAUACCGGCGGCCCGAGUGGUGGCCGCUAUUAUUGGGCCUAAAGCGUCCGUAGCCGGGCCCGUAAGUCCCUGGCGAAAUCCCACGGCUCAACCGUGGGGCUUGCUGGGGAUACUGCGGGCCUUGGGACCGGGAGAGGCCGGGGGUACCCCUGGGGUAGGGGUGAAAUCCUAUAAUCCCAGGGGGACCGCCAGUGGCGAAGGCGCCCGGCUGGAACGGGUCCGACGGUGAGGGACGAAGGCCAGGGGAGCGAACCGGAUUAGAUACCCGGGUAGUCCUGGCUGUAAAGGAUGCGGGCUAGGUGUCGGGCGAGCUUCGAGCUCGCCCGGUGCCGAAGGGAAGCCGUUAAGCCCGCCGCCUGGGGAGUACGGCCGCAAGGCUGAAACUUAAAGGAAUUGGCGGGGGAGCACUAC
This 860-nucleotide ribosomal RNA is filed under the name Thermococcus sp. Gorda6. Its description in RNAcentral is "bacterial SSU rRNA". It matches the Rfam family "Archaeal small subunit ribosomal RNA", at positions 26 to 882 of the family's 1478-position model. The record is from RNAcentral. Lineage: Archaea; Methanobacteriati; Methanobacteriota; Thermococci; Thermococcales; Thermococcaceae.